GUUGUCGUGGCUGAGUGGUUAAGGCGAUGGGCUAGAAAUCUUUUGGGAUCUUCCCGCGCAGUUUCGAAUCCUGCCGACAUCG
Molecule: transfer RNA, 82 nt
Filed under: Dreissena polymorpha
Lineage: Eukaryota; Metazoa; Mollusca; Bivalvia; Myida; Dreissenidae
Rfam family: tRNA
About the family: Transfer RNA (tRNA) molecules are approximately 80 nucleotides in length. Their secondary structure includes four short double-helical elements and three loops (D, anti-codon, and T loops). Further hydrogen bonds mediate the characteristic L-shaped molecular structure. tRNAs have two regions of fundamental functional importance: the anti-codon, which is responsible for specific mRNA codon recognition, and the 3' end, to which the tRNAs corresponding amino acid is attached (by aminoacyl-tRNA synthetases). tRNAs cope with the degeneracy of the genetic code in two manners: having more than one tRNA (with a specific anti-codon) for a particular amino acid; and 'wobble' base-pairing, i.e. permitting non-standard base-pairing at the 3rd anti-codon position.
Source: Rfam by way of RNAcentral